GAUGAACGCUGGCGGCGUGCCUAAUACAUGCAAGUCGAGCGAACGGACGAGAAGCUUGCUUCUCUGAUGUUAGCGGCGGACGGGUGAGUAACACGUGGAUAACCUACCUAUAAGACUGGGAUAACUUCGGGAAACCGUAGCUAAUACCGGAUAAUAUUUUGAACCGCAUGGUUCAAAAGUGAAAGACGGUCUUGCUGUCACUUAUAGAUGGAUCCGCGCUGCAUUAGCUAGUUGGUAAGGUAACGGCUUACCAAGGCAACGAUGCAUAGCCGACCUGAGAGGGUGAUCGGCCACACUGGAACUGAGACGCGGUCCAGACUCCUACGGGAGGCAGCAGUAGGGAAUCUUCCGCAAUGGGCGAAAGCCUGACGGAGCAACGCCGCGUGGGUGAUGAAGGUCUUCGGAUCGUAAAACUCUGUUAUUAGGGAAGAACAUAUGUGUAAGUAACUGUGCACAUCUUGACGGUACCUAAUCAGAAAGCCACGGCUAACUACGUG
RNAcentral lists this ribosomal RNA (497 nucleotides) under uncultured bacterium. Its description in RNAcentral is "partial 16S ribosomal RNA". It matches the Rfam family "Bacterial small subunit ribosomal RNA", at positions 28 to 507 of the family's 1533-position model. The record is from RNAcentral.